This 402-nucleotide ribosomal RNA is filed under the name uncultured bacterium. Its description in RNAcentral is "bacterial SSU rRNA". It matches the Rfam family "Bacterial small subunit ribosomal RNA", at positions 355 to 774 of the family's 1533-position model. The record is from RNAcentral.
UCGGGAAUUUUGGGCAAUGGGCGAAAGCCUGACCCAGCAACGCCGCGUGAGGGAUGAAGUAUUUCGGUAUGUAAACCUCGAAAGAAUGGGAAGAAUAAAUGACGGUACCAUUUAUAAGCUCCGGCUAACUACGUGCCAGCAGCCGCGGUAAUACGCAGGAAGCAAGCGUUGUUCGGAUUUACUGGGCGUAAAGGGCAUGUAGGCGGCUUGGAAAGCCUGGCGUGAAAGUCUGCAGCUUAACUGCAGAGGUGCGUUGGGAACUGCUGAUCUUGAGUGAUGGUGAGGGAGCUGGAAUUCCUGGUGUAGGGGUGAAAUCUGUAGAUCGCAGGAAGAACACCGAUGGCGAAGGCAAGCUCCUGGCCGAUGACUGCCGCUGAGGUGCGAAAGUGUGGGGAUCAAACA